GAUGAACGCUGGCGGCGUGCUUAACACAUGCAAGUCGAACGAUGAUGCCCAGCUUGCUGGGUGGAUUAGUGGCGAACGGGUGAGUAACACGUGAGUAACCUGCCCUUGACUCUGGGAUAAGCCUGGGAAACUGGGUCUAAUACCGGAUACGACCAUCUGGCGCAUGUCAUGGUGGUGGAAAGCUUUUGUGGUUUUGGAUGGACUCGCGGCCUAUCAGCUUGUUGGUGGGGUAAUGGCCUACCAAGGCGACGACGGGUAGCCGGCCUGAGAGGGUGACCGGCCACACUGGGACUGAGACACGGCCCAGACUCCUACGGGAGGCAGCAGUGGGGAAUAUUGCACAAUGGGCGCAAGCCGGAUGCAGCGACGCCGCGUGAGGGAUGACGGCCUUCGGGUGGUAAACCUCUUUCAGUAGGGAAGAAGCGAAAGUGACGGUACCUGCAGAAGAAGCGCCGGCUAACUACGU
Molecule: ribosomal RNA, 466 nt
Filed under: uncultured bacterium
Lineage: Bacteria
Description: partial 16S ribosomal RNA
Rfam family: Bacterial small subunit ribosomal RNA
Source: RNAcentral